CAAGGGACCAAGAGGUGAACCAGGAUCUCCUGGUGGUGAUGGUGCCAAGGGAGAAAAAGGAGACCCGCCAACAGAGAGGGGU
Long non-coding RNA from Pocillopora damicornis (cauliflower coral), 82 nucleotides. The record is from RefSeq and is a predicted model, not a curated record. NCBI's taxonomy places the organism in Eukaryota, Metazoa, Cnidaria, Anthozoa, Scleractinia, Pocilloporidae.